AUGUUUGAGCGAGAGGCGCGGCGUUCAACAAACAAGUUUGUGCAGAAAGAGAGGGACAGAAUAAGGAAAGAUGGAGAGAUCGCUGACAGAGCUGCUGAGCUGGACAGAAUCAAUAGUGUGAUAUUGAAGGCUGAAUUUGAGUGCCUUGGCCUUAAUUAUUAUGAAAAGGCCCUGAAACGCAGAGAGAGGAUCCAACAGAGCGAGAUGGAGUUGUGGAUCACCUCUCUCACUACGGUCCGGAGAGAAGCGUUACGCAGGAUGCUGGAGCAGGAGAGACUGCUGCAUGUCAGAGAGCUCAGCAGGAUUGGCCGGGCCAUUUAUCAACAAAGAACAUAAACCAUUAAAACACAUUCCAAUGCUAAGCCUUCACAUUCACUGCUUUAUAUACAUGUGACUGUACAAAUUAGUUCUCUCUACGAUUAUUUUAUCCUUAAGUUUUCUUUACAUUUGUUCAUAACUUAUAUGAAUCAACUCCUGUGAUCACUGGAAACCUUGUAUUAAGCUCUUUUUUGUUUCUUUUUUUUUAUUAUAAUAACAUUGAAAUCAGUAGUGCUAUUUUUUGUAGAAAGUGUGAUUCAUUUUUUUUUAUUUCGGGAUUCUUUGAUCAAUAUAAAAUGCAAAUAUUUAUUUAAAAUAAAAAUCAUUUGUAAAUGUCA
Cyprinus carpio (common carp) is the source of this 656-nucleotide long non-coding RNA. NCBI's taxonomy places the organism in Eukaryota, Metazoa, Chordata, Actinopteri, Cypriniformes, Cyprinidae. The record is from Ensembl.